Molecule: non-coding RNA, 12289 nt
Organism: Callithrix jacchus (white-tufted-ear marmoset)
Lineage: Eukaryota; Metazoa; Chordata; Mammalia; Primates; Cebidae
Source: RefSeq, a predicted model, not a curated record
CCCACGGAUCUCGCCCUUCCCCCCGGCCGCAUGAUUUCUCGCGAGAGUUAAGCGCGCCUGACCGGACGGGAGGAAAGUAUCCGCUCUGCCGAGGGGGGAAAGAAGGAGCUGGAGAUAGAUUGUAGGACAGAGUGCGGGCAGGCGGGAGGCAACGGAGCUACCAGCCGCUCCGCUCUGCUAUAUGAAAUAUGGGAGACGACAGACCGUUUGUGUGCAAUGCCCCGGGCUGUGGACAGAGAUUUACAAACGAGGACCACCUGGCAGUUCAUAAACACAAGCAUGAGAUGACAUUGAAAUUUGGCCCAGCUCGAACUGAUUCAGUCAUCAUUGCAGAUCAAACUCCUACUCCAACUAGAUUCCUGAAGAACUGUGAGGAAGUGGGACUCUUCAAUGAACUAGCUAGCUCCUUUGAACAUGAAUUCAAGAAAGCUGCAGAUGAGGAUGAGAAAAAGGCAAGAAGCAGGACUGUUGGCAAAAAACUGGUGGCUGCUGCUGGGCCCCUUGACAUGUCUCUACCUUCCACACCAGACAUCAAAAUCAAAGAAGAAGAGCCAGUGGAGGUAGACUCAUCCCCACCUGAUAGCCCUGCUUCUAGCCCCUGUUCCCCAUCACUGAAGGAGAAGGAGGUUGCCCCAAAGCCUGUUGUGAUCUCUACCCCCACGCCCACCAUUGUACGUCCUGGCUCCCUGCCUCUCCACUUGGGCUAUGAUCCACUUCAUCCAACCCUUCCCUCCCCAACCUCUGUCAUCACACAGGCUCCACCCUCCAACAGGCAAAUGGGGUCUCCCACUGGCUCCCUCCCUCUUGUCAUGCAUCUUGCUAAUGGACAGACCAUGCCUGUGCUGCCAGGGCCUCCAGUACAGAUGCCGUCUGUUAUAUCGCUGGCCAGACCUGUGUCCAUGGUGCCCAACAUUCCUGGUAUCCCUGGCCCACCAGUUAACAGCAGUGGCUCCAUUUCUCCCUCUGGCCACCCUCUACCAUCAGAAGCCAAGAUGAGACUAAAAGCCACCCUAACUCACCAAGUCUCUUCAAUCAAUGGUGGUUGUGGAAUGGUGGUGGGAACUGCCAGCACCAUGGUGACAGCCCGCCCAGACCAGAGCCAGAUCCUCAUCCAACACCCUGAUGCCCCAUCCCCUGCCCAGCCACAGGUCUCACCAGCCCAGCCCACCCCUAGUACUGGGGGGCGACGGCGGCGCACAGUAGAUGAAGAUCCAGACGAGCGACGGCAGCGCUUUCUGGAGCGCAACCGGGCUGCAGCCUCCCGCUGCCGCCAAAAGCGAAAGCUGUGGGUGUCCUCCCUCGAGAAGAAGGCCGAAGAACUCACUUCUCAGAACAUUCAGCUGAGUAAUGAAGUUACAUUACUACGCAACGAGGUGGCUCAGUUGAAACAGCUACUGUUAGCUCAUAAAGACUGCCCGGUCACUGCACUACAGAAAAAGACUCAAGGCUAUUUAGAAAGCCCCAAGGAAAGCUCAGAGCCAACGGGUUCUCCAGCCCCCGUGAUUCAGCACAGCUCAGCAACAGCCCCUAGCAAUGGCCUCAGUGUUCGCUCUGCAGCUGAAGCUGUGGCCACCUCGGUCCUUACUCAGAUGGCCAGCCAAAGGACAGAACUGAGUAUGCCGAUACAAUCGCAUGUGAUCAUGACCCCACAGUCCCAGUCUGCGGGCAGAUGAUGCCUCCUCCGGUGAAGAGGUUCCCAGCCAGAGCUCGCCACCCAAGAGCCAAGAGAAAUGUCAUCUUACCCCCUCCCAUCUGCCUUGGACAUGGCAAUACGGGGUAGGGGGGAAUUGUGUGUUGUGAGUAAUGGACAGAUAUGGGGCUUUUUAGGCUUUUUAGCCACAUGGUCAUGUAUGUUUGACACCUGUACUGGGGGCCUCCCAGCCCCAGAGCCUCAUAGAUCAUCCCCAAGGGUGGGGUUUCUGAUGCACCCACAGCCAAAGGCCUUUCCAGAUGGUCCGAACAAUCACCCCUGCCCCAUGCACGUGUAUCUGUCUCUUUUAACACUAACCCUUGGCACUUCUAGGUUUGGGGUUUCUCAGCUCCCUCUCUUCCCACUAAGCCGUGGCUGUUACCUUUCUGUUCCUUACCAGCUUGCCACUUCCUGCCAGAUAGAGGGAGGCUAGAUUUGAUGGGAUAUCACCCACUGACCCAGCCCCAGCCACCCAGUGGACUCAGGACCGUCUCCCACUGCUGCUUCUUUACCCAUUUCCUUUUUCCCUUCCUUAAUUCUAGUUAAAACAUUUACUUACAGAGAAUGUGAGGUUACCUUUGUUGUAUAAAGCAGCAGUAUUUUCCAGUUCUUCCAUAAGCUUUAUUCCUUCUCCCUGCCUACCACCAAAAAAAAAAAAAAAAAAAAAGAGGUAAAAAGAAAGAAACCCUCAAGAGUUCUAAUUCUUGGCCGGGCGCGGUGGCUCACGCCUAUAAUCCCAGCACUUCGGGAGGCCGAGGCGGGUGGAUCACGAGGUCAAGAGAUCGAGACCAUCCUGGUCAACAUGGUGAAACCCCAUCUCUACUAAAAAUACAAAAAUUAGCUGGGCAUGGUGGUGCGCGCCUGUAGUCUCAGCUACUCGGGAGGCUGGGGCAGGAGAAUUGCCUGAACCCAGGAGGCGGAGGUUGCGGUGAGCCAAGAUCGCGCCAUUGCACUCCAGCCUGGGUAACAAGAGCGAGACUCCGUCUCAAAAAAAAAAAAAGAGUUCUAAUUCUUUUUCAUCUAUUUCCAGAGCUAUUUGGGUACCUCACUUUGUCACUUGAGUUUAUCUAGUGUAGUGGUGGGGUCUUUCCCACCACCCCACUAGGCCUCAGCAACCUCAUUUUGUGGCCUUAUUCAAGAUUGCUUGGUAGUGAAAAGGGAAGGGCCCAGGAUCUGACUGGCCGAUUCUAUCUCCUCCCCUCCCUCUCCCUUCAGUUUUAAUCAUCAGGGCAGACAGGAACAAAGCAGUUCAAGGCUUGUUCCAUCAGGUUAGGGAUUAACUGAUUCCUUUAUAAGAGAUUACUGGCCAAAGCAUACAUAUUGUCAUCUUUGGUCAUCUUCCUGCUCCUGCCUCUGCUUCUCUUCUGUAACUACUUCAGAUACAGCCCUCCUGGAGGCUGUCAUGUAGGGGACUUGUACCCCAUGUCUCCCCCUCAGACGUCUGUCUUCUUUUCUGAGCUAGAAUCUUCUGUUCACAAGUGCCCCUCACCAUCUGGACUACCUUCUUAUUCUUUCACCAGGUUCCUAGCUUAGACACUAGGUCUUCCAGGUCCUCUAGAGUUUCUUCAACCCAUUUCUGCUCUCUUCUCCCUACAUGCAAUGCUCCAGGAUCUUGAAGCAUCAUAGCCAGAGUCCUGAGUGGAUUUACUUGAGUAUUAGAUUGAAAGGAGGGACGAAGGGAAGAGGGGAAGUACAGAACUAUUCCCAGCAAAGGACCCCAGAGUCUGGCCUGGGAAAUUGGUGACUAUUGCUUUCAGCCAUUCUUACUUUGAAGAGUUGGGUUGCAGGGGGAGCAGUCCAUCCCUCUUGUCCCUCUUCCUUCCACAUGAAAGCUUCUUAUCUCCCCUUGGCUCUGAACUAUGCAGUUUCCACCAGGACCAUAGGAAGCAAUUCAGAGCCAGAGGCCUGUGGAUAGAUAGGUCAGCUUUAAUAGCCUUUCCAUGUGAAACCCUUCCAGUUGUCCCAGAGCCACCUUCUGCCAUCUGUGCAAGCCAAGAAUGUCCUCCUCUCCAUCUUUUCUGCCUCCAUCUAAACGUACGCACACAAUAACUGCUAGCUUCAGCUUCCUUUCUUGUUUUGUCUCCAAAAUUGACUGUCACAGGGGAAUGAGAAAACGUAAGCUACAAGAUUCCCAUUUCCUUAAAGUGAUAGCCUAUCCUAGUGAACCAGUCAGGUAACAUGUUCUGCUGCAUUUGUUUUAAAUUUCCCCUCCUGCUUUUCAGGGCUGGUGUGAACAGGCCACACCCCUAAAGACAAAAGAGGGAAAACAUGGGUUUCUCAUCCUCUACCACCAGGUGCCUAACUGGAAUAGCCCCUGAAGUGACUCAGACUAGCAAAUGUUAUGACAGAUGGUCAGGAUGCAGGUUACCACCUCCAGGGACUUCACUUUUGCCUUUAAAAAUUCACAGCCAUAACUUGUGCUCAGGACUUCUCCUUUGGAUGGCUGCUCCCUGGGAUUUUUCUCCUGCUUUAUUGUCUUGAUUUCCCAGUAGCAGCCUUGCCCUACAGCUUGACUGAAUUUAUGGCUCCUAAGGAGCUUUCCUAAGACUCUUGACUAUUUUUCUUCCCCCUUCAGUCAAGUUUUUAAAGUUAAGAAUCAGUUUGUCACUGCAUACGUGCCCUACCAGUCUGUCCCUGUGUUGAGUGGCUAAUUUAUGUGAGGGUCUUUUUUAGUUCUUAGCCCCCAUGACUAAUUAUCUAGUCCUAACUUCAUUUUUAUCAGUGGGAAGUUUGUAUAUGGGACCUAAACGGAGCAGUGUCAGAACCACAGUAUCGAAACAGUAACGAAAUGGAACUAAAAUAAGGAAGCAGCAGGUCAGAGCCCCAAGAUAGCUCUUGAGUUUGUUCUCAGUCUCACUAAGGAGGCAGAAAAAUUGCUUACCCUGAAGCUUCCAUGAUAGUCAGAGGUGAAGUCACUUACCUUGUUAUUUCUACAGCCAUGUGAUCACUCCCCCAAUCUUUGUCUUCCAGACUCAUCUGGACCAGAACCAAACAUCAUGGAAGGUGUCACUUGGCCCUUCCUAAGGUCCAUGGCCUUUCUAGAGGCCCAAGAAAGGACACGUUCAGAAAGGAGCUGAGUGUAUGGUGGGUGUCCUGAAUUCAGUGAAUACAGGACUCAGGCUUCCCACCCCACUCCAGUGUGAGUGCUAGAUAUGUAAGCACCCUAGCUAGCUGCAACAGACCCAAGGCCACAGAGGAAGAGGCCAGAACCAGGUCCUCUGGUCUGCUCACUCUCUGCCCCAUUCCCCUAACAGAAAGCUUGCUUAGAGUUGAAAAGUCUAAGAAAGCCUCCCACACUACUAGAGAGGCCAAAAAUAAGUCAUACCCCACCUUUACUUACUCUUUUGCUGCAGGUUAUACACCCCAAAUCUGACUUCCUAAGCGUUCACCUCUCUCCUUGCCCUAAGCUUAGACCAUGUACUUCAAGUAGUGGUGAAGAGGGACUGGGCUAACUGAACCUCCUCUCAUUCACUCCUCUCUCCCUGUUCUGUUCCUUUUCUGUUAUUUUACAUAUGACCUCUGUCACAUGCUCUGCUCCUUUCUUGAUUCACUGCUUUCUGGCACCACCCAUCCUGGUAGAUGGAGCCUUGACCCCAACUGUGCACUAUGUACAGCCUGAACCACCAAACAGACACCAAAAAAUUAUUCCUGAGGUUUCUGGGGCUCCCCUCUCCACGCUGAGAGGCUCCUAAAGGUGGUAGACCCUGAGACAGCUGUCCCCGCCAGUUUUCUCCUUUUUUCAUUAGCUCCUUCCCAUCCCCAAAUCAUUAAUUUUCCAUUAGCGCUGUACAUUGUAUACACAGGAAAGAAAUGUUAUCUCUUUUUUUAAUUUCAUAACCAGUCUCUGUAGCUUCCAGUCCUCCUCACUGUAUCUCAUAUGCCUUGUUGAUACGCCCUUUCUGCUUUCUUUACACUUACAUUUGAUGGGGGUGGGGGCGUCUGGAAGAACAGGAAAGGUGAGUAUUCCAAAGCAGAUUAAAGGACCCUCCACCCCAUUACAGCCUCCCACACCUCUAGUCGUCCCUCUCAUAGUACAGGACCGAUUUCUCUGUGUCUGUUUGUACCCACAAAUGUGCAUAUAGACAUAAAUUCCCCCAGCGCACACCAAGGUGGUGGAAUUCCCAGUAGGAAUGAGCAUAGGUGGCUGCUGGCCACCGUUACCACCCUCGGCACCAAUUGAGUUCUCUCUCUUUGGGGUGAAGUCCUACCCCAGAAUGAGGAAAGGCUGGGGAGAGUAUGGCAGGUUACAGCAGUGUAUGUCCUUUGUAGAUUCAGGUUUGUAUCAUAGCUACUAGGGCUUAUUUUUUUAAUGGGGGACUAAUAGCAUAGAGAUAACUCAUCAGCAGUAGCUACUGGUGAGUAAUUUUUUAUCUGUAAGAAGUGGCUAUGAGCAGUAGUUUCACUGACUUGACCUUAAAGCAGUGGUCCCAGAAUAUGGUCCAGGACCAGCAGCAUCAGUACCACAAUCAUCGGGAAACUUACUAAAAAUAUACAUUCUCAUGCCCCAUCUCAAACCUAUUGAAUCACACACUCCGGGAGCAGGAUUUAAAAGCACUCCAAGUGAUUCUAAUGCACACUAAGGGUUAAGAACCAUUUCAAUUUUUUUUUUUUUUUAAUGAGGUUUCACCAUGUUGGUCAGGCUGGUCUUGAACUCCCGACCUCAGGUGAUCCACCCGUCUUGGCCUCCAAAGUGCUUGGAUUACAGGCAUGAGCCACCAUGCCUGGCCAAAAACCUUUUCUUAGGUUAUCCCUAAGAAAACCUGGGAAAUUCUUACAGGUGUGGAGGAUAUUUCAAAUACAUCUUUUGCCUUUGCACUAACAUUCUUCCAUUUCUUUCAGUCUCUUCCUCCAUUCCCAUUAAAACAAUCACCAUUAUAUCAGUGAUCUCAAAAUCCUGAUCUGUCUUCUUUCUAGCCGUAUCCUUAAAGCCAUGCAUUGGUCUGGACAGGAGUUAUCCCAUGUUUCCUUACAGAUUGGUCACUCUGUGCUCUCUCUUACAGUAAGGACCAGCCAGAGCUUCAGCUGUCCCAUUCCUCCCCCACAGCACACACACUUGUCAGGCAGGGAGGAGAUGAACCCCGAGCCCCAAGAGUGGAGGCUGCCGCAUCCUAACAUAGUACUAUUGAAAAGGAAGCAGUGUGUAUCUAUGAUUAUAUCUCUGUUCAGCUAUAUAUUUUUGACAUGUGGCAACACCUCUCCAUCUUAUCAAGGAAACUCAACUCGGUCUGGGUCUCCCCAGUGCCCAGUGGUGGCCUUUGACAGGUAGGAGGAUGCAGUGCUACAGGCUAUUUUAUUUUUUGUUACAAAACUGUCUUUUCCCUUUUCCCCUCCACCUGAUUCAGCAUGAUCCCUGUGAGCUGGUUCUCACAAUCUCCCGGGAUGGGGCUGAGGCAGGGGCUUCGCUCUAUUCUCCCUAACUGUACCAUCUUCCUUUCCCCCUUGCCACUUAGCAGUUAUCCCCCCAGCCAUGCCUUCUCCCUCCCUCCCUUGCCCUGGCAUAUAUCGUGCCUUAUUUAUGCUGCAAAUAUAACAUUAAACUAUCAAGUGAACCACUGUUAUGUCUGAUGCUUCACUACUCUAUCUACAGGUCCCACUGUCCACUCUUCGGGGAGGUCACUGGGCUUUCAGUCUGUCAACUUCCUUACUCCCCCAUUUCUUAGGACAGAAGGAACAGGGAUUGUUGUCCCUAGUUUUUUUAUACAGGAGAGACACAGCCUAGAGUAGGUGGAUGAUUUCUAUCACUUACGAAAUAUGACAGAAGGCCCAGGGCAGAGCUCCUGUGGACUGCCUUGGAGACAAGGGCCCUUGGCUUCCUGGCAGCAAGCACUCACCAGGAAACUUAGUAUGUGCUUUAUGUGGAUGGCAGGUGGGAGAGCUGCUGAUGGCAAAUUGCCUUUUACUUUUCAGUGUUUUGUUGACAACCCCCACCCAACCAUUAAAAAAAAAAAAAAAAAGCCCUAAGCUGGACGCACUGGCUCAUUCCUGUAAUCCCAGCACUUGGGAGGCUGAGGCGGGCAGAUCAUGAGGUCAGGAGAUCAAGACCAUCCUGGUUAACAUGGUGAAACCCCGUCUCUACUAAAAAUACAAAAAUUAGCUGAAUGUUGGCACACACCUGUAGUCCCAGCUAUUCGGGAGGCUGAGGCAGAAGAACCACUUUAACCUGGGAGGCGGAGAUUGUAGUGAGCGGAGAUCAUGCCAUUGCACUCCAGCCUGGGCAACAAGAGUGAAACUCUGUCUCAAAAAAAAAAAAGAAGAAGCAAGUCAAGAGUUCACAAGAAAAAUAGGUAAUGCUCAGAGCCUGUGGGAAUCAGGAAGAGGUGUAGGGAAAUCACAGAUCAUUUCUUGCAUCUGUUUAUUCCUUUAUAAUUAACAUCACAAAUGAGAACAGUGAGCCAGGCUGAAGAAUUUGACAAAAGAUAGCAGGAGUCUCUGGAGUUUCCCAGUAGAAGAGAAAUGAUUUAAGAAGCUAUAUAUGGUUGGUGUUUGGGAGACAUGUGACACAAAUAGCCUGUGCCUCCUGAGGAGAGUGGGAAAAGCAGUGGUGGUCUUCACUGUGUUGUGGCCAGGAGCACAUGGGGGUCCAGAGAAGGGUAAGAAUGACAAUUGCUGAAAGCCAAAUACCAAAGCCCACAUUAUGAGGUUUUGGAGGUGGGAAUGAACUCUAAAGACUGGGCAGUUUACCGAGUUAGAGGGACCCAUCUAUUCCAACUUGAGAGGAGACCAGUCACCUCCAUCCUGGACACAGGAAGCCAGCUAGACCAGCCUCUUUCUGAAUGCAGCUCAGCUCAAAGCCACUUGUAAUUGAUGUUUAGAGAAAUACUAGAAGCAGCAGGUUGGUAAACAUCGCGUGGCUGCCCCAUGCUACAUGGGAUGGUAGAGUGCUUUACUCUUCAUCUCAGGAUAACAGUAAUAGUCACUUCAUUUUAUUGAUGAUGAAUUUUUAGCCAAGUCACACGGUGAAGUGCAAGAGCUAGGGUUACAACUGAGUUCUGUCUGGCCCAGAGCCAGCUCUGCAAUAUCCCAUCCAUCCUCACACAGACAGGAGCAGACAAGGAUCAUGAUGGGAUGCAGCAGCUACUGCCCACAGAAGAGCCAUGAUGCUCCCUUUCAAGAAGUGGUAAACUGGCCGGGCAAGGUGGCUCACGCCUGUAAUCCCAGCACUUUGGGAGGCGGAGGUGGAGGCGGAGGUGGAGGUGGAGGUGGAGGCAGGCAGAUCACCUGAGGUCGAGGCGGGUGGAUCACGAGGUCAAGAGAUCGAGACCAUCCUGGUCAACAUGGUGAAACCCCGUCUCUACUAAAAAUACAAAAAAUUAGCUGGGCAUGGUGGCGUGUGCCUGUAAUCCCAGCUACUCAGGAGGCUGAGGCAGGAGAAUUGCCUGAACCCAGGAGGCAGAGGUUGCAGUGAGCCGAGAUCGCACCAUUGCACUCCAGCCUGGGUAACGAGCGAAACUCCGUCUUAAAAAAAAAUAGGUGGUAAACUACAAGAUGUCAUGAUGAUGAAUGUCAGGUUCUAUGCUUGUGACCAACCAUGAGACAAAGCUUACAAAAAGAUUCACCCUAGCUCCGUCUACAUUAAUAGAAAUAUGGUAUUUGGAGCAUCCAGAUAGAUACAAACCUGCUCUAAUCUACAUAUCUAAAGAGUAAGUUGAUUCCUAGAUCCCUUGCCUUAAAGAGUGGGGUGCUUCCCCUUGAGCAAAAAAGACUUCAGAGCGGGCCGAGCACGGUGGCUCACACCUGUAAUCCCAGCAGUUUGGGAGGCCAAGGUGGUUAGAUUGUUUGAUGUCAGGAGUUCAAGGCCAGUGCCAAAAAAAAAAGACUGGAGUGGAAGAAUGAACUGUCUUCAAAAAUAUGAAGAGCUUUACACAUGAAAGAGAUGAGAGAUGUUCUGUGAGAUUUAAUGAAGCAAACUAAGAACCCCUAGUAGAAGUCAUAGGAAGCCCAAAGCCCCCUUGGCACAAAGAUAAAUAUGUCUGAAGACUGCCUCAGGAGAUGGUAAGUUCCCUAGCUGGGGCGUGUGAGGCGAUCACAGCUCAUGUUUGAGGAUACCUGUUCUAUGCCAGCUGUUUUGCUGAAUGGAUUACAAAAAGGAUGUUAAAUAAUGCAUACUCUAGGAAGAAGCUCCUUGUAAAAUGGGCCCAUGUUUUAGGUAAGGAAACUGAAGCUCAGAGCAAGGGACAGCUUGCCAAAGCAGAGUCCAAGGCCUUUACGUCAUGGCUCUUCCUCAGCACAGGCUAGAGACCCACACCGGUGGGGAUGCUCAGAAAAAGACUGUAGGACUAGAAGGAACCUGCACCAUAGGCUUGAAGGCCUUUUCCUGAGGAUUAGUGAUUCUGAUUUUUCCUAAGACAGGAUUCUAGGCUACCCUAAUAUGUCAGAGCCAGAGCCAGGCAGAGGCUGUGGUGACCAAAGAGAGAGGAGGCAGAAUGAUAGUCCAGCUCCACAGUAGCCUGCUCCUGUCCCUCAGGGACUCCCUGAAGUCUAGACCCUAGCACCUCCAUUCAGCCUCACCCUCCUAGCUUCCUCUGCAGAGCUCUAGAUUCUAGGAAAAGGAAAUGGCCGGAGCUGGCAGUGAGGAGCUGUGACCACAGGGUGGCAGCAGUGCUUCAGCUGUGGAGGGCGACUUCAUAGGAAGGGCUAUGAGGCGGGUCGGAAGCAGUAGUAAGCUCUAGUGAAGAUGGUGGUCUGUCUGCAGAUUUAAAGCCAUGCCCAUUCAGUGGGCUCCAAAACCCUUUAGCCUUCUUCUAUAUCUUAAUAUUCUGAGAUGGAGUUUCACUCUUUUUGCCCUGGUUGAAGUGCAGUGGUGCGAUCUCGGGUGAGCCACUGCACCUGGCCAAAAUAAAAAUUUUUUUUAAUCAAAAAAAAAAAAAAAAGAUACAGCCCAGGCACGGUGGCUCACGCCUGUAAUCCCAGCUACUUGGGAAGCUGAGGCAGGAGAAUCACUUGAACCAGAGAAGCAAAGGUUGCAGUGAGCCAAGAUCGUGCCACUGCACUCCAGUCUGGGCAAAAAGAGUGAAACUCCAUCUCAGAAAGAAAAAAAAAAAUUAAAUCUUCUGCACUAUCAUGAAGCUGAAUAUAUCUUCUAUCCACAGGCAAAUCUGAGUAGCCCUCAAGAGGCACACAAGCAGAGGAUGGGCUGUGUGGGCCUGUCAGCCCCCAGACGGGGAGGACCAGGCUUGGUCAUCCUGGACUCUGAACCUGGUGGCUCUUCCCACUCCUCUUCUACUCCAGGAUAUCCUACUUAACCCCUCCUGACAUGAGUUUCGUUUUUGGGGGACAAAGGGGAUGGAGUCUCUUGUCACCCAGGCUGGAGCACAGUGGUGCAAUCUCAGCCCACUGCAACCUCCAUCUCCCUCCCAGAUUCAAGCGAUUCUCCUGCCUCAGCCUCUCAAGUAGCUGGAACAACCGGCAUGUGCCACUACACCCGGCUAAUUUUUUAUUUUUAGUAGAGAUGGAGCCUCACCAUGUUGGCCAGGCUGGUCUCAAACUCCAGCCCUCAGGUGAUCCGCCUGCCUCAGCCAAUCAAAGUGCUGAGAUUACAGGCGUGAGCCACAGUGCCCGGCUGACAUGAGUUUCUUGUGCUUUACCCGUUAGGAAAGAGGGGAAGUGAUAAACUGAAGCUCUCCAACCUGUUGAGGGAUUGGGGGUUCUUGUAAGGCCCCCCAGGGCCUGGCUCUGACAAAGCCUCUGCAACUAAUGAUGCUUCUUGAGCGCUGGAGACAGAAUUUAUGCAUCUAAUAAAGUCUAUCACUCCAGGCUUAGGGGCCGGGGGCAGGAUGAUGAGAGCAGGAAGUCCUGGGGGCACCAUGGGAAGGGAUCCCAGGCGGCUCCUAAUGAGCCCUGCACUUCCAUUUGCCUGUUCUAGAUUCCCCCUAAGGCUGCUGUGAGGCUGGGGGUGGGGUAACAGCAGGUAUAAGAGGCUGGGGUGGCUGUAGGAGGGUGGAUGGCAGCAUGGAUUCUGGGCAGGCUGCUGCGCUGCUGGUGCUGCUGCUGCUCAUAGAUCCCGCCUGUGCUGAGGGGCCAGGAGGCCGGCAGGAAGACCAGCUCUCCCAGGUAAGUGAGCAGCCCAUCCCCUUAUCACCCAUACCUUGUCGCCUCUACCUUGGUUGAGACUUGUGCUCUAGGUUCUGAUACUUUCUCUGGUUGCCAAGGUUGUCGUUAGGUCCUCACAUCUGAGGAAAUGGUUCUGCACCUACCACUUGCCCCUGGAAGCCAGUCCCUUCCCCUUGUGACUUAUGUGUCCAGGGUAUUUGCCCAACUUCCUUGCCUGAUAGCCCCUGGUACAGGAGAAAGACAGUGGACCCCGCCUACCACAGGAUGCCCAGAGCCCUGGGUCACUCUUGCGAUCCCUGCUCCAGGCAAUGGAGAGACCUGGCCGGAGCCAAGCCUUCCUGUUUCAGCCCCAGAGAAACACCCAGGGAUCCUGGAGCAAUGAACGGCUGAGUCCUCGGGCUGGAGAGGGGCUGCAUUCCCAGUUCUGGAGCCUGGCUGUCCCUCAACGCUUUGGGAAGAAGUGAUAUCAUCCCUUGAUGUGUUUGCAUGCAAUGUCCACACCCAAAAGUGCCAACGUGUGCCCCCAAAUAAAGGUGUCUGAUUUCUGAA